RNAcentral lists this long non-coding RNA (4118 nucleotides) under Populus tremula. RNAcentral describes it as "long non-coding RNA (PTRE_LNC003223)". The record is from RNAcentral. Lineage: Eukaryota; Viridiplantae; Streptophyta; Magnoliopsida; Malpighiales; Salicaceae.
UGUUGAAUUAAACUCAACCUCUAGAUGGUCAAGGAAGGCAACCACCAGCUGCCACCGACCAGCCACCAACCGACCAGCCGCCAGCCACCAGCCGCAGCCGCCAGCCGCCCCCACAGCUGCCACAGCCGCCAGCCGCCUUCACACUUGAAGGUUGAAUUUUCUUGUUUUGAUUUCGUGUAUAAAUAGAGUGCCCAGCUUAUGUUAUAUGUGUGGAGAGAAUAGAGAGAAACACUUGAAAGAGAAAGAGAGAGAGAGAGGGCGUGUAUUAAGCUUUUAUUUUGUGUUAUUUGUAAGCUUCGGAUUUUGUAAUAAAACCAGUGUGUUUUAUCCCCUCUAAGUGUUUCAAAGCCACCACCAGUGGUUCCUCCCACCAACAAUUGGUAUCAGAGCCCCGUUCGUCGGAAAACAUAAGUGUUUUGGGGUAUAUCCGAAUUUUCAAAAUUGUCAAAAACAAGUUUUGAUCAUUCCACAGUGUAGAGCUCAUCAAGACGAACUCACUGCCGCAAAAAUCAGCCAAAUCGGAGUUCGGGGUAGCCCACACGCGCCGCCUGAAUAUUCAGCCAGAUCGCCCACGCGCAUGCCACGCGCCCCGAGGUUGAAGACGACUGAGCCACACGCGCGCCAUAUUCGAGCCGUGUAAGCCGCCUAUAGCCGAGUCCAGCCGAGCCACAUGCCGAGCCGUACCCCCGCGCCGAGCCGAGCCGCGUUCCUGCCUCGCCGAGCCGAAGGAAUAUUCCCAGAAUAUUCCCCAGAAUAUUCCCAGAAUAUUCCCCAGAAUAUUCCCAGAAUAUUCCCCAGAAUAUUCCCAGAAUAUUCCCCGAAUAUUCCCCGAAUAUUCCACAGAAUAUUCCCGGUUCAACCCAGCGAACCGCCCGCCGUACAGUAUUGGUUUUUUUGACCGGUUCACCCAUUUGUUGACCCGAUUUCAACAAAGUCAGACCGGUUCCCUACUAUUUGGACCAUUCCGGAUCGAUCUACAGUGUCCGUUUGGCCAAAUUUGGCUCCCAGAAGGUGAUAUAGUCAUUAAAAGAGCAAAAUGACUACAGAAGGUACACAUACACUCAUCCCGAAGCUGACCAAAGACAACUAUGAUAGUUGGUGCAUCAGAUUGAAGGCAUUUCUUGGGUCACAAGAGUGUUUUGAUAUUGUACAAACUGGUUAUGAUGAACCAGAGUCCAAAGAAAGAGAAGAUGCUUUACAAGAGGCACAGAAGCAAGCCCUUAAAGUCAACAGAAAGAAGGACAACAAAGCAAAGACCAUCAUCUAUCAAGGUCUUGAUGAAGAUACAUUCGAGAUAAUAGCUUCCGCUGAAACGUCACAUGAUAUAUGGGAGGCUCUCCAACAGAAAUACAAAGGUGCUGACAGAAUCAAGAAGAUUCGUCUUCAAUCUUUGAGAGGAGAAUUCGAAUUAUUACGAAUGAAGUCCUCAGAAUCUAUUUCUGAUUAUCAUACAAGGAUUAUGGUGAUAGUCAAUCAGAUGAGAGAAAUGGAGAAGCCCUCAUGAUACUCGAAUUAUUGAGAAAAUUUUGAGAUCCAUAGAUCCAAAAUUUGAUCAUGUUGUUGUCGCAAUUGAAGAGUCCAAGGAAGUGGACAAGUUGACAGUGGAUGAGCUUAUGAGUUCUUUGCAAGCUCAUGAGCAGAAGAUUGUAAUGCGAAAUGAAGAUAAGGCCAUUGAGCAUGCCUUACAAGCAAAGCUGUCUUUCAAGGACAGAUAUGAGCAAGGGGAGACUUCAUCAAGUGGCUACACCACUCAAGGAGGAAGUCAACAAUCCAGAGGAGGAUUCCAGCAAUUCCAAGGAAGAGGUUCUUGGAAUACAAGCUUUAGAGGAAGAGGUGGUAGAAACACCACCAGAGGAGGCCGAGGACAACAAGCAUUCACUCCUAGAGGAAGAGGAGGCGGUUACAAUAACCGUGACAAGAGAAAUAUCAAAUGUUAUAGCUGCAAUCAAUUUGGGCACUAUAGCACUGAAUGCAGAUGGAAAGCUCCGUUGGAGACACGUGAGCAAGCCAACUAUGUAGAGAAGCAUGAUGGAGAAGCAUCUGCAUUUCUUGUCCAACAAGAACUUGGCGAGAAACAGGAGAUAUGGUAUCUAGAUACUGGAGCCAGCAAUCACAUGUGCGGCUACCGAGAGUUAUUUGGUGAUCUAGAUGAGACCAAGCAAGGUCUAGUUACUUUUGGAGAUACCACAAAGGUUCCAUUCAAAGGUAAAGGCAAGCAUCCCAGUCAAGUUGAAGAAUGGCGAUUCCAGCUACAUCGCCGAUGUGUAUUAUGUCCCAGCCAUAAAGCAGAACCUGAUCAGCUUAGGCCAACUUUUGGAGAGAGGAUAUAGUUUUUACUCGAAGAAUUGUCAUCUGACAAUUAGAGACAACAAUGGGAGAUUAAUGGCCUACGUGAAAAUGUCCAAGAAUAGGAUGUUUCCUUUGAACAUCCAGUAUGAUGCAACAAGGUGUUUGAGUGCCAUCACCAACAGUGAAGAAUGGCUUUGGCACCUGAGGCUUGGACAUCUGAAUUUCACGAGUUGAAGAUGCUAGCAAGCAAGAAGAUGGUCAAAGGUUUGCCUCACAUUGAUCAUCCAGAUGAAGUCUGUGAGAGUUGUGUCCUCAGCAAACAUCACAGAUCCAGUUUUGCCAAAGAAGUCAACUGGAGAGCAAAGAGGCCACUGGAGUUAGUACACACAGAUGUGUGUGGCCCAAUUACGCCUAUGUCGACUGGACAAAAUAGGUACUUCCUCACUUUUACUGAUGAUUUUAGUAGAAAGACGUGGAUAUACUUUCUGAAGAGGAAGUCAGAAGUAUUCAAUUGUUUUAAAGAUUUUAAAGCAAUUGUGGAGAAGCAAACUGGUUACACGAUCAGAACCGUAAGAUCUGAUCAAGGUGGAGAAUAUACAGCAAAUGACUUUGAAGCCUAUUGUACACAACAAGGCAUCAGACAUCAGACGACGCCAGCUUAUACACCACAGCUGAACGGUGUAGCAGAAAGGAAGAAUCGCACGAUUCUUGACAUGGCAAGAAGUUUGCUCAAAGCAAAGAAGCUGCCCAAGCAAUACUGGGCUGAAGCUGUAUCAUGUGCAGUGUAUCUGUUGAAUCGCUGCCCAACCAGAAGUUUGCAAGGAGUCACUCCAGAAGAAGCAUGGAGUGGUCACAAACCAAGUGUUACUCAUCUACGAGUCUUUGGUUGUGUGGCAUAUGCAAAGAUCCCAGAUGCAAGAAGGAGAAAGCUCGAUGAUAAGAGCGAGAAAUGCAUCUUUGUCGGAUAUGGUGAAAGAAGGAUGGGAUACAGGCUGUAUAAUCCCAUCACAAAGAAGGUGAUUACGAGUAGAGAUGUUAUCUUUGAAGAAGAUAAAUCUUGGGCAUGGAAUGUGAUCAAGAAGCAGUCAAAUGGAUCAAACUUGAUUUGAUCCUUGAAGGUGAAGAAGUACCAACAGUACUUUAGAAGAACCGAUUGUGCCAGCAGCUGAACCACAAAGUCCAGUGUUUAUACCAGCAGCUGAACCACAAAGUCCGGCACACAGUUUCCCUGUAUUCAACAGGAGGAACACACCAGGAGCAUCAUCAUCAACACCACCAUCAGCAUCCUCAUCAGAAGGACCAAGAAGAUGCGGAAUCUUGAAGAGUUGUACGAUACCACUCAGGUCAUGGAAGAUACAACUCUGUUUUGUUUCCAUGCAGAUAAGGACCCACCAGAAAAGAAAAAGCAAUAGGUGUCAAAAGGUCUACAAGCAGAGAAGGCAUUGAAGAGAAGUGUUCAUGCUUGGCAUGAUAUCUCUCGAUUGAGUUUAAAGGGGAGAUUUGUUGAAUUAAACUCAACCUCUAGAUGGUCAAGGAAGGCAACCACCAGCUGCCACCGACCAGCCACCAACCGACCAGCCGCCAGCCACCAGCCGCAGCCGCCAGCCGCCCCCACAGCUGCCACAGCCGCCAGCCGCCCCCACAGCUGCCACAGCCGCCAGCCGCCUUCACACUUGAAGGUUGAAUUUUCUUGUUUUGAUUUCGUGUAUAAAUAGAGUGCCCAGCUUAUGUUAUAUGUGUGGAGAGAAUAGAGAGAAACACUUGAAAGAGAAAGAGAGAGAGAGAGGGCGUGUAUUAAGCUUUUAUUUUGUGUUAUUUGUAAGCUUCGG